Long non-coding RNA from Arachis duranensis, 875 nucleotides. RefSeq lists it as uncharacterized. Lineage: Eukaryota; Viridiplantae; Streptophyta; Magnoliopsida; Fabales; Fabaceae. The transcript has 3 exons. The record is from RefSeq and is a predicted model, not a curated record.
AGAAAAGUCGAAGGAAGAAGGAGAAGAGGGUGGCGAGGAUGACAGUGACGGUCACAGAGAAGGAAGCUAAGUCUACAGAGAAAAGAAGAGGAAUGAGGCGACGGCGGUGAUAGAGUCCACGGUCGCUGUUCGAUCCGUAGAGCUACGUCCUCCGUAGGAUGGUGUCGCAGCUAUUUUUUCGCCGGUGGAUGUUGCGAAUGAAGAAUGAAGAGAGAUUACGAGAUGUCGACGUCGGCGAUGGUGGAGCUAGCCUCCUAUCCUCGCCAAUGACACCUAUGAAAUGAUGCAACAAAGGAGUGGAGCAAAAGAGACAAGCUUUUGGUGGUUUAAAGUCACUAUCUCAAAGCAUCAGAAGUGGCCAAGAAAAAAACAAUCAUUUUGGGACUAGAAUCCUAGCAGCAAAUUGAUGACACCGGUGAUGAAAACUGAGAGCUUUGAUAUCCUAUCUUGGGCGGUAUUACAGAGUGGUAGCAGGUAAUUAGGAGCUAAAAUCAUGUUUAGGAAAUUCACUAAAUUUUGCUGUUGUCAGUGAAUAUAGUUGUGAAUGAACUAGACAAGACCUUGCAACACCAAAGAAAAAGCCACUUUCUGAAGGUGAGAAGAGGUAUAUAUCUUUGGUUUUCUUUGUUUUAUUCAAAUUUUAAUUGAUGAUUUCAUUCUAAUAUUGUUUUGUUCUGGGAAAAUAAAGGAAGAAGAAAAUUGUGCUUGGGAGUUUAAUGAAAGCGUGGUGAGGCCUGGUGGUGAUGAUCAGGUUAUUUUUGUCAUAUGUAAAUAUGUAUUUUUUCUAAUAUAUAAUAGGAAAAAUAAAAAUUCUUUCCUUAUUAAUGCCCUUGAUUAAAUUGGUGAGUGUUAGUUAUAAUGUUGGGCAUUUUGUU